AUGGAGAGGGUGGCGGCGGGGAGCAGCGAGCAGGGGACGCCCGACAGCGAAAUGGGCGACGGGGACAACGACAGCGUCGGCUACGGCACGGAGAUGGAGCUCGACGCCUCGGCCCCCGCCCCCGCGUCCGCCUACCCGGCGCGCCCCAGCGUGCACGACGGGGUGGACCCGUUCGAGGGCAUGGAGUUCGACGACGAGGAGGACGCGUGGAUCUUCUACAACCUCUACGCGCACCGCGUCGGGUUCAGCACCCGGAUCAGCGUGAUGCACCGCUCCCGCCGCGACGGCUCCAUCAUGUCGCGCCAGUUCGUGUGCGCCAAGGAGGGCUUCCGCACCUACCGCGGCAAGCACGAGCAGGCCGCCGCCCUCGCCUCCAGCCCCGGCGCCCCCGCCGGCGCCGACGACGGCGGCCGGGGCGCCCGCCGCACCCGCGCCGUCACCAGGGUCGGCUGCAAGGCCAUGAUCCGGGUCAAGAAGCAGGACGGCGGCAAGUGGGCCAUCACCAAGCUCGAGACCGCGCACAACCACCCCCUUGUCCCGCAGAACCAGGCGCACUGCCUGCGCCCGCACAAGCCGCUCUCCGAGUGCGGCAAGCAGCGCUCCUCCUCCUCCUACGGGGUCCGCCGGAAUGGAGGUAUGUUCCUCGCCAUUGAGCCUGCGCCGCCACCACCGCCCCCCACACCGCCUGUUCCUCAGACCGGCAUCAUCCCUCAACCAGCAGUGGUUCCCCAUUACAUCGGGGACGGCAUCGGAAAUGCCACUAGAGUGAUCCUGGAUUAUGUCAAGCGCAUGCAAGCUGAGGACCCGGCCUUCUUCUACGCAAUGCAGUUCGUCGAGGGCCAUCCGGUGGGGAAUGUCUUCUGGUCCGAUGCCAGAGCGAGGACGGCGUACAAGGACUUUGGGGACGCCGUUUUCUUGGACGACCACUGCAAAAGAAGCAAGUAUGAGCUCCCUCUCGUCACAUUCACCGGAGUCAAUCACCAUUGCCAGCCAGUCCUAUUUGGGUGUGCAGUCAUCAGGGAUAACUCUGAGGCGUCGUUUGCUUGGCUCUUUGAAACACUUCUCUUGGCAAUGUCUGGUCAGCACCCUGUCUCUCUCACCAUAGAGUAUGAUGGCGCCAUACAAUCAGCUGUCCACAAGGUUCUUCCUCACACCAGGCACCGAUUCUGCAGGUGGCACAUCUUGAAUGAAGCCCAGUGUAAGCUAUCAGAUUUCUUAAAUGCAUUCCCGUCCCUUUAUGAUGAUCUUGUCAACUGCAUCAACAUGUCUGACACAAUUGAUGAGUUUGAAGCAAAUUGGGAGGCAUUGAUUUCCAAGGUUGGGUCUGGGCAUAACGAGUGGCUUGAUUCAAUGUACAAUUGCCGGCAGCAGUGGGUCCCGGUAUACUUGAGGGAUACGUUCUUUGGAGACGAGCCAUCAAGGCAGGGGUGUAUGAGCAGGAGCUCGUUUUUUGAGUCUCACAUCACUGCUAAAACCAAUUCACAGUCGUUCAUUCAGCACUACGAAAAAGCUCUCGACAGUUGUUAUGAGAGGGAGGUGAAGGAAGAGUUCGAAACAAAGUAUUCGCUUCCAGAUAUCAAGACACCAUCUCCUAUUGAGAAGCAAGGAGCAGACUUGUACACAAGGACACUGUUUUUGAGGUUCCAACAGGAAUUGAUUGGUGCCUCUGUUUCUACUCUGGAAGUGGCAGAGCAGGAUGGUAAGGCUUGCACGUAUAAAGUGACCACAUCUCAAGGAAGUGAGAAGCCUCGUAUGGUUCAAUUCAAUUCUUCUGAGUGUUCUGCAAAAUGUACCUGUCAGAUGUUCGAAUGUCUUGGUAUUGUCUGUAGGCAUAUUCUUACUGUCUUUGGUGCACAAGGUGUAUCUGCGCUUCCUUCUCAGUACAUCAUGAAAAGAUGGACCAAAAAUGCCACAGAUAGAAGCUCGGACAAGAAACCUGAUGAAGUUAUUAGAGUUAAAGAGCUCAAGGAGGAGCAAAGAAGUACUGUCGAGGAUGGCGAGCAAUCUCAGACAUGGCGCUACAACAGUUUGUGUCGUGAAGCACUUAGGUAUGCUGAAGAAGGAGCAUCAUCUGCAGAGGUUUAUAUUGUGGCGAUGCAGGCUCUUCAAGAGGCUGCUAACAAAGUCAAUAUGGCCAAGAGAGGGAUUGGACAAGUAGCAGCACCAUUGGCAGUGAUGCCAAUUACAGCGCAGCUGCCAGAAUGUUCUGGAAAAAUCCAGGAUAGUUUUGGUCAGCAAAAGAAGAGAAAAAGGAAUUCAAACAACUCAAGAGAGAACUCCACACCGAAUCAGUUUAUGCAUAUGCAGCAACCUAGUAAUUACCUCUUUGUUGGUCCCAGUACAUCAGGUGGUUCACAAGGGCCUAGUCAGCUAGUUGCUGCAAUUCCUGUUUCUUCCUGUGCACAACAUGGGCAAACAUCGGGUGCACAUAACUCAACCGAUGGCAACAUGGCAACUGCUUCUGUAGCUGUUGACAAGUUUCAUGGAUUCUCAGACCGAGAUGCAUCAACAACAGCACCUUCUUCAGGAAAUGUUGUGCAAGCAGGAGAAACUAAAUCUUCAGGGGUUGCUUCACAAAUUAACGAGAGUCAUGAACUGUCCCAAGCUAAUGGAAACAAGGGAAGCAGCGUAAAUUCUACUGCUUCACCACAGCUUGUGACCGUUCCAAUUGGAUUCUGCCUGCCCUCCAUGGACAAGAACAAGAUGUCUACUGCUGGGAUGAAUUCUACAAACUCCGGCGGCAUGAUGAAUAAUGGCAAUGCAUCAUUUGAUCUUCGCCAAUGUCAAUCUUCUGCCCAAGUGCCUGCCACACACUCAGAGGCAAAAACACUGGCAGAAAACACCGAUUCACGGGCAACUACUGCUGACAACUCUUCUAUAAGGGCUGCAGCCAUCGCGGCGGGGGCGCGCAUUGCAUCUCCAUCUGAUGCAGCUUCAAUCAUAAAAGCAGCACAGUCGAAAGAUGCCAUCCACAUCAGGCCUGGGGAAAGCCUUCCAAAUCAGCUGAAACCAUUAGCCCCCAGGCCACUCUCCUCACUAGCACCAGCUAGCGGACCCAGCUCGGCGCAGCAUCUGCAGCAGCCUGGACAAAACAGCUUUGGCGAUUCUACCGCAGCCAAGGAAGCGAUUUUCGGCUCCACAGAUGGCAGUGAUGGCGAUGAGUACGAAGACGAAGACACUGACGAUGACGACGACGAGGGGCUAACCGGCGAUGAAGGGGAGCAAGAGUGA
RNAcentral lists this ribosomal RNA (3231 nucleotides) under Triticum aestivum (bread wheat). Its description in RNAcentral is "partial small subunit ribosomal RNA". Lineage: Eukaryota; Viridiplantae; Streptophyta; Magnoliopsida; Poales; Poaceae. The record is from RNAcentral.